Herpailurus yagouaroundi (jaguarundi) is the source of this 300-nucleotide long non-coding RNA. RefSeq lists it as uncharacterized. The record is from RefSeq and is a predicted model, not a curated record. The transcript has 3 exons. Lineage: Eukaryota; Metazoa; Chordata; Mammalia; Carnivora; Felidae.
CGGGAGGGCGGGGUCGCCGGAAGCCACACCCUUCUGGAAAAAAAAAUUGGUCUGGUGACUAGCAAGGACCACUACGGGGAGAAAAGGAUUCCAGGUCAUUCACACGCGCUGUCACCAGCCGGAACAGGAUGAUCUCUUUCUAGGUAUUGGUAUUCUAAUUAUCUAAGAGAAUCCUCUUAUUCAAGGAGAUCUCUCUCCGCCUGGUGCCGAGAUUCCUUCACGGCCACAUGUUUGAGCUGACAGAUGAUCCUUUCCACUCGGGAAAAUCCACACGUGCUAUCUGCCUUGGAUACAGCUGCC